RNAcentral lists this ribosomal RNA (636 nucleotides) under Triticum aestivum (bread wheat). Its description in RNAcentral is "partial small subunit ribosomal RNA". The record is from RNAcentral. Lineage: Eukaryota; Viridiplantae; Streptophyta; Magnoliopsida; Poales; Poaceae.
AUGGAGCUGCCGCCGCUCAAGCUCAACGCCGCCCGAGGCAAGGACAGGAUCAGCGCACUUCCCGACGAGCUCCUCCUACGGAUCCUCGAGCGGCUCGGCCUGCGCCGGGCGGUCCACGCCGGCACGGUCUCCAAGCGGUGGCGGCACCUCCCUCACCAGCUUUCCUUCGUGGCACUCGACGCCCGCCGCUUCCCCCGCGCCACGCUGGUCGAAACCAUGGAUGCGUUCACGGCCGCUUUGACGUCCGUCUGUGCCCAGCGCAACUGCGAGUGCCAGUGCGGCCGUGCCAUGGCCAUGAAGCUCAUCGACCUCCACUUCUUCCUGUCGUCGGCCUCUCAUCUGAGCUCCAUCGGCAGCGCCAUCCAAGACAUCGCCAGCCACGGCAAGACCAGACACCUCGCCUUCCAAGUAUCCCCGCCCCCAGGGGUAAACUCCGGCCCGCAGAUCCCCGAGCUAGGGCAGCAAUUCAUGUCCUUCUCCCGCACCUACCAGCCGGCCUUCCGCUCGCUCACGAGGCUGCGCCUCAAGAGCCUUGCGUUCGGGGACUCCGACGUCGCCGACCUCAUCACUGCUUCCGAUAAGCUCGAGCAUCUCAACAUGAACUCCUGCGGACUGGUCGAUAGUGCCACGUGCUAA